GACGAACGCUGGCGGCAUGCCUAAUACAUGCAAGUCGAGCGAACAGAUGAAGUGCUUGCACUUCUGACGUUAGCGGCGAACGGGUGAGUAACACGUAAGGAAUCUACCUAUAAGCGGGGGAUAACAUUCGGAAACGGGUGCUAAUACCGCAUAAUAUCUUCUUCCGCAUGGAAGAAGAUUGAAAGACGGCUCUGCUGUCACUUAUAGAUGACCUUGCGGUGCAUUAGCUAGUUGGUGGGGUAACGGCCUACCAAGACGAUGAUGCAUAGCCGACCUGAGAGGGUGAUCGGCCACAUUGGGACUGAGACACGGCCCAAACUCCUACGGGAGGCAGCAGUAGGGAAUCUUCCGCAAUGUGCGAAAGCCUGACGGAGCAAUGCCGCGUGAGUGAAGAAGGCCUUCGGGUCGUAAAACUCUGUUAUAAGAGAAGAACAAAUUGUAGAGUAACUGCUACAGUCUUGACGGUAUCUUAUCAGAAAGCCACGGCUAACUACGUGCCAGCAGCCGCGGUAA
This 513-nucleotide ribosomal RNA is filed under the name uncultured bacterium. RNAcentral describes it as "partial 16S ribosomal RNA". It matches the Rfam family "Bacterial small subunit ribosomal RNA", at positions 28 to 523 of the family's 1533-position model. The record is from RNAcentral.